UCGGGGCUAAGUUUUAUAUAGGGUUGGC
RNAcentral lists this non-coding RNA (28 nucleotides) under Rattus norvegicus (Norway rat). The record is from RNAcentral. Lineage: Eukaryota; Metazoa; Chordata; Mammalia; Rodentia; Muridae.